This is a non-coding RNA of Triticum aestivum (bread wheat), 135 nucleotides long. The record is from Rfam. Lineage: Eukaryota; Viridiplantae; Streptophyta; Magnoliopsida; Poales; Poaceae.
GUAGUAUUCCCUCCGUCCCAAAAUUCUUGUCUUACAUUUGUUUAUAUACAGAUGUAUCUAACACUAAAAUGUAACUAGAUACAUCCAUACUUAGACAAAUUUAAGACAAGAAUUUUGGGACGGAGGGAGUACAAA